CAUAUACUUUUACUUUGCCUGGUUUCGUUUGACCGAGGAUCAUCACAGGAAGGGGAAUAUUCUUAAACAGAAUCAAACCAUCUUCUUUUCCUCCUUCUUCUUCUUUUGAGGACGAUGAAGGUAACGGACAAUAUAACUGCCAGUUCUUCGAUACUUCAUGAUGUUCGUAGAAGACUAAGGGCGGACGAUGACUAUCAGUCGUAGCCGUGUUGAA
Molecule: non-coding RNA, 214 nt
Filed under: Pteridomonas danica
Lineage: Eukaryota; Dictyochophyceae; Pedinellales
Source: RNAcentral